RNAcentral lists this transfer RNA (76 nucleotides) under Chloroflexota bacterium. Its description in RNAcentral is "tRNA-Gly". It matches the Rfam family "tRNA". From Rfam's summary of the family: Transfer RNA (tRNA) molecules are approximately 80 nucleotides in length. Their secondary structure includes four short double-helical elements and three loops (D, anti-codon, and T loops). Further hydrogen bonds mediate the characteristic L-shaped molecular structure. tRNAs have two regions of fundamental functional importance: the anti-codon, which is responsible for specific mRNA codon recognition, and the 3' end, to which the tRNAs corresponding amino acid is attached (by aminoacyl-tRNA synthetases). tRNAs cope with the degeneracy of the genetic code in two manners: having more than one tRNA (with a specific anti-codon) for a particular amino acid; and 'wobble' base-pairing, i.e. permitting non-standard base-pairing at the 3rd anti-codon position. The record is from RNAcentral. Lineage: Bacteria; Bacillati; Chloroflexota. RNAcentral also lists the same sequence under 2 other names.
GCGGGAGUAACUCAGUUGGCAGAGUAUCUGCUUCCCAAGCAGAAUGUCGCGGGUUCGAUCCCCGUCUCCCGCUCCA